Callithrix jacchus (white-tufted-ear marmoset) is the source of this 4839-nucleotide long non-coding RNA. RefSeq lists it as uncharacterized. The record is from RefSeq and is a predicted model, not a curated record. NCBI's taxonomy places the organism in Eukaryota, Metazoa, Chordata, Mammalia, Primates, Cebidae.
GGUCUUUUGGCUCAAUUCUGAAUAAACAGUGCACAUCCAUGUGGGAGCAAUGAGGAGGAACUGUAGCAUCUGGGUGUUUUUCUUCAACAACAAAUGUAUCUGCCAAUGGGAAGUACUUUCUGAAGAAUUUUGAACUUUGACAUCUUAUAAUAAAUGUCCCACCAUCUCUGAUAAGCAAAUGCUGACGGAAUUCAUUACCACCAGACCAGCCUUACAAGAACUCCUGAAGGGUGCCCUAAACAUGGAAAGAAAAGACCAUUAACAGCUACUACAAAAGCACACUUAAGUACACAAACCAGUGAUACUAUAAAGCAACUACAUAAACAAGUCUGCAAAAUAACCAGCUAUCAUGUUGACUGGAUGUCAAUACUAAGCUUAAAUGUCUUAAUUAAAAGAUGCAUAAUGGCAAGCUGGAUUAAAAAAAAAACAAGACCCAUUGCUAUGCUGUCGUCAAGAGAUCCACCUCACAUGCAAAGACACAUAUAGACUCAAAAUAAAGAGAUGGAGGAAAAUCUACCAAGAGAAUGGAAAACAGAAAAAAGCAAGGGUUGUAAAACCAGUUUCUGACAAAACAGACUUUAAACCAAGAUUUAAAAAAGACAAAGAAGAGCAUCACACAAUUGUAAAGUGGUCAAUUCAACAGGAAGACCAAUCUAUCCUAAAUACAUAUACACCCAACAAAGGAGCACUCAGAUUCAUAAAGCAAGUUCUUAGAGAUUUCAAAGAGACUUAGACUCCUGCACAAUAAUAGUGAGAGACUUUAACACCCCACUGACAGAUCAGCAAGACAGAAAAUUUACAAAGAUAUUCAGGACCUGAACUCAGCUCUGGAUAAAAUGGACCUGAUAAACAUCUACAAAACUCUCCACCCCAAAGCAACAGAAUACACUUCUGAAUUAGUACAGUCUUUUGCUGCACUAAAGAACUACCUGAGACUCAGUAAUUUACAAAGGAAAGAGGUUUAAUUUAUUCACAGUUCUACAGGGCUGGGGGGGCCUCAGAAAACUUACAAUCAUGGCAGAAGGGGAAGCAAACAGAUCAUUCUUCACAUGGUAGUGGGAAGAAGAGUGAAUGAAGUGGGGAAGCUCCUUAUAAAACCAUCAGAUGUUGUGAGAACUCAGUCACAGGCACAAGAACAGCAUGAGGAUAAUCACCCCAUGAUUCAAUUACCUCCCACCAGUUCCCUCCCAUGACACAUGAGGAUUAUGGGAACUAAAAUUCAAGAUGAGAUUUGUGUGGGGACACAGCCAAAGCAUAUCAAUAGCUCAUUGCCACAUGGCACUUAUUCUAAAAUUGGUCACAUAAUCAGAAGUAAAAGACUCCUCAGCAAAUGUAAAAUAACUGAAGUAAUAAUAAACCUUCUCUCAGACCACAGUACAAUCAAAUUAGAACUCAAGACUAAGACAUUUACUCAAAACCAUACAAUUACAUGGAAAUCUAAUCCUGCACAUGAAUGACUUUUGGGUAAAUGAUAAAAUUAAGGCAGAAGUCUCUUUGAAACUACUGAGAACAAAGGUACAACAUACCAGAAUCUCUGGAACAUAGCUAAGGCAAUGUUAAGAGGGAAAUUUACAGCACUAAAGCCCACAUCCAAAAGUGAGAAAGACCUCAAGUUAGCAACAUAAUGUUGCAACUAAACUAACUAGAGAACCAAGAACAAUCAAGGUUAAAAGCUAGCAGAAGAUAAGAAAUACCUCAAAUCAGAGCUGAACUCAGGGAGAUUCAGACAGAAAAACCAUUCAAAAGAUCAAUGACUCCAGGACCUGGUUAUUUGAAAAAAAUUGGUAAAACAGAUAGACUGUUAGAUAGAUGAAUAAAGAAGAAAAGAGAGAAGAUUCAAAUAAACACAAUCAGAAACAACAGUGGGAUACCACCACUGGCCCCACAGAAAUACAAAUAAGAGUCAAGAAUAUUACAGACACCUCUAUGCAAAUCAACUGUAGAAAUGGAUAGAUUCCUGACACAUACACCCUUCCAAAACCAAACCAGGGAAAAAUUUAAUCCCUGAACAGGCCAAUAACAAGUUCUGAAAUUGAGGCAGUAAUAAAGAGCCUACCAAUAAAAAAAGGAUCAGACAGAUUUACAGCUGAAUUCUAGAAGAUGUACAAAGAAGAGCUGGUACUAUUUCUACAGACACUAUUCCAAAAAUUUGAGGAGGAAGGAUUCCUCCCCAACUCAUUCUAUAAGGCCAGUAUCAUCCUGAUAUUAAAACCUGGCAGAGAUACAACAAAAAGAGGAAAUUUCAAGCCAAAACCCUUGAUGAACAUUGACGCAAAAAUCCUCAACAACGUACUGGCAAAUCAAAUCCAGCAGCACAUCAAAAACCUUAUUCAUCACAACCGAGUAGGCUUCAUCCCCAGGAUACAAGAUUAGUUCAACAUCCACAAAUAAUAAAUGUGAUUCAUCAAUAAAUGUAAUUCAUCACAUAAACAGAACUAAAGACAAAAACCAUAUGGUUAUCUCUAUAGGUGCAAAAAAGGCUGUUCAUAAAAUUCAGCAUCGCUUCAUGUUAAAAACUCUCAAUAAACUAGGUAUUGGAGGAACAUAUCUCAAACUAAUAAAAACAAUAUAUAACAAACCCACAGCUAACGUCAUAGUGAAUGUGCAAAAGCUGGAAGCAUUCCCCUUGAAAACCAGCAGAAGACAAGUAUUGGAAGUUCUGGCCAGGGAUAUCAGAACUGGAAAUUUCCUGUCUCUCCUUAAACAGCACUGGAAGCAGAUGGGACGAGAACAGCUGUGACCAACUCACAACUCUAACCCAGCAACCCUCAGCAUACAAGUGGGUGACCGUAAAGUUCUCCAAGACCCCAAAAGAGGCCGAAGGUCUGGUAAUUGCUGAGAGAAGUCCACUAUCCAAGAAGAGAAGAGGAAAGGAAAUUCAAAUCUCUGAACACUGGGGAUGCAAGAAGAGAGUAGCACAGGGGAGAAAGAAGAAGGAGUCCACUGAGUAACACUGCCAUUGGAGAGAAAUCCAUGUGGAUACGUGCUGGGAGUCUAGGAAGUGACGCCUUAGUGAUCAUUUAUAAGAAUGAGGGAUAGGUAAAGUAAGGGAUGCAAAGCCACCUGUAGUCUAUUCUCACCUCACUCCACUGCUUUAUACAAUCUGUGUUUUAUCAUCUGUAACAUUAAGUAAAGACCUGUUUAGGUCUUCUUUGGAAUCCCAUACAUUUGAGUUCAUUAGUCAGAAAAAGGUAAAAUACCACCACCCCAUCCUGGAAUGCCAGGCAUGUAUGCUUUUUUUUUUUAAUUAAAUUGUACUUUAGGUUCUGGGGUACAUGUGCAGAUCAUGCAGAAUCGUUGCAUUGGUUCAUACAUGGCAAUGUGGUUUGCUGCCUCCAUCCCCCUGUGACCUAUUUCUGGCAUUUCUCCCCAUGUUAUCCCUCCCCAAACCCCCACCCCCCCCGCUGUCCUUCCCCUGGCCCCCACAACAGACCCCAGUGUGUGAUGCUCCUCUCCCUGUGUCCAUGUGUUCUCUUUGUUCAAUAUCUGCCUAUGAGUGAGAUCAUGUGGUGUUUGCUUUUCUGUUCUUGUGUCAAUUUGCUGAGAAUGAUGGUUUCCAGAUUCAUCCAUGUCCCUACAAAGAACAAAAACUCAUUUUUUAUGGCUGCAUAGUAUUCCAUGGUGUAUAUGUGCCACAUUUUCAUUUUCCAGUCUAUCAUUGAUGGGCAUUUGGGUUGGUUCCAGGUCUUUGCUAUUGUAAACAGUGCCACAAUGAACAUACGUGUGCAUGCGUCCUUAUAAUAUAAUGAUUUAUAAUCCUUUGUGUAUAUACACAAUAAUGGGAUUGCUAGGUCAAACGAAAUUUCUAUUUCUAGGUUCUUGAGGAAUUGCCACACUGUCUUCCACAAUGAUUGAACUAGUUUACACUCCCAACAGUGUAAAAGUAUUCCUAUUUCUACACAUCCUCUCUAGCAUCUGUUGUCUCCAGAUUUUUUAAUGAUCACCAUUCUAACUGGCGUGAGGUGGUAUCUCAAUGUGGUUUUGAUUUGCAUUUCUCUAAUGACCAGUGAGGAUGAGCAUUUUUUCAUAUGUUUGUUCGCCUCAUAUAUGUCUUCUUUUGAAAAGUGUCUGUUCAUAUCCUUCCACUUUUGGAUGGGUUUGUUUGUUCUCUACUUACAAAUCUGUACUCUUCUGUAAUGAGAGAUUGGGCAGCAAAGGGGGCCCUUGUGGACCUCACCCAGCCAGAGAAGGAGGCAGAAUGUUCCUUUCAUUAUAUUUUCCCCUCCCCAGAGGAGCACUACAUAUCAUUCCCUCCAUGGGCUUAAGAGAAGGUGCCGGGGUUACACAGAUUUAUAGCUGGGUGUAGAGUACAGGGUGAAUUGGGAUGUCCAUGUACAAGACUAGAGACAGGAAAUCAGUUCUAAGAUUUUAAAAAUAAUUAGGAAAAAAGGAGGGUUUGACCCAAAGCUUAGGAGUACGGUAGAGAAAAGAUGAUGCCAUGAUAGCCCAUGUUUCUGGGGCUUUUCCGUAGUUCUCUUCCUCUGUGUACUAUAUUGCCCCAAUUUCCUGUUUAUUCAAAGCCCGUGCUACCCCCACCGUGAAGACUUCCACGAGAAGAUUCAGAUAUUUCUUCUUUUGUGUACACUUUCUACCUUACAAAUAAGUUAAUUUUAAUUCCAGAAGGGUUUUUUUCCCCCAGAGCUCUGUUGGUCUGCUCAGUGGAAUGUAAGUUUCUUAAAUCUAGGGUACAGUGUCUUUGAGAACUGCAAUCACCUACAUCAACAUGACAUAGUUAUUAGGACUAAGAGCAGAGACCACCUGUGUUAACAUAAGUUAGUAUUUUGUUCCAGGAAACAUUUGCCCAAGAAAGAUAAGACCAUAACCAAUAAAUAGUUUCCA